Molecule: ribosomal RNA, 465 nt
Filed under: uncultured bacterium
Lineage: Bacteria
Description: partial 16S ribosomal RNA
Rfam family: Bacterial small subunit ribosomal RNA
Source: RNAcentral
GACGAACGCUGGCGGCGUGCUUAACACAUGCAAGUCGAACGGAAAGGCCCUGCUUGCAGGGUACUCGAGUGGCGAACGGGUGAGUAACACGUGGGUGAUCUGCCCUGCACUUCGGGAUAAGCCUGGGAAACUGGGUCUAAUACCGGAUAGGAGCCAUUUUUAGUGUGAUGGUUGGAAAGUUUUUUCGGUGUAGGAUGAGCUCGCGGCCUAUCAGCUUGUUGGUGGGGUAAUGGCCUACCAAGGCGGCGACGGGUAGCCGGCCUGAGAGGGUGGACGGCCACAGUGGGACUGAGAGACGGCCCAGACUCCUACGGGAGGCAGCAGUGGGGAAUAUUGCACAAGGGGCGCAAGCCUGAUGCAGCGACGCCGCGUGGGGGAUGACGGCCUUCGGGUUGUAAACUCCUUUCGCUAGGGACGAAGCUUUUUGUGACGGUACCUAGAUAAGAAGCACCGGCUAACUACGUG